CGCGUCAGCACUCGCUGCCGCGUUGAUUGAGUCGACAUUAGUCGGCACAGGCAGGGCUCCCCCAUAGCCCGGGCGAGGCUCAGCUUCGCAUAUCGGAUUUGUUCUUGACCGGAAAUAGCAAGAUGCGCGGAAGGCCAUUACGUCAUUGUGGUCUAUAUAAAUGUGAGAAAUCGAGCAACAUGAUCACUCAGACGCGGAUCGAGAAAGUUCACAAGGGGAAAUGUGCGCUACCAGUCAACACAGACAUCCACACAAUGCCACAAUCUCCAGCCGAAGAGACGGUCCAAAAAGGCUUCAACUAUUGACAUCAUCCAAGUUAAAGAUGAAUGUGUGUCCGAGCAGCGCACAAAGGUUACCC
Non-coding RNA from Penaeus vannamei (Pacific white shrimp), 358 nucleotides. Lineage: Eukaryota; Metazoa; Arthropoda; Malacostraca; Decapoda; Penaeidae. The record is from RefSeq and is a predicted model, not a curated record.